This 69-nucleotide transfer RNA is filed under the name Heterocephalus glaber (naked mole-rat). It matches the Rfam family "tRNA". From Rfam's summary of the family: Transfer RNA (tRNA) molecules are approximately 80 nucleotides in length. Their secondary structure includes four short double-helical elements and three loops (D, anti-codon, and T loops). Further hydrogen bonds mediate the characteristic L-shaped molecular structure. tRNAs have two regions of fundamental functional importance: the anti-codon, which is responsible for specific mRNA codon recognition, and the 3' end, to which the tRNAs corresponding amino acid is attached (by aminoacyl-tRNA synthetases). tRNAs cope with the degeneracy of the genetic code in two manners: having more than one tRNA (with a specific anti-codon) for a particular amino acid; and 'wobble' base-pairing, i.e. permitting non-standard base-pairing at the 3rd anti-codon position. Lineage: Eukaryota; Metazoa; Chordata; Mammalia; Rodentia; Bathyergidae. The record is from Rfam by way of RNAcentral.
GGGGAUGUAGCUCAGUGGUAGAGUGUUUGCCUGGCAAGUAUGAUGCCCAGGGUUCUAUCCCCAGCACCA